RNAcentral lists this ribosomal RNA (618 nucleotides) under Entoloma hirtipes. RNAcentral's name for it is "partial large subunit ribosomal RNA". It matches the Rfam family "Eukaryotic large subunit ribosomal RNA", at positions 52 to 654 of the family's 3401-position model. The record is from RNAcentral. Lineage: Eukaryota; Fungi; Basidiomycota; Agaricomycetes; Agaricales; Entolomataceae.
GGAGGAAAAGAAACUAACAAGGAUUCCCCUAGUAACUGCGAGUGAAGCGGGAAAAGCUCAAAUUUAAAAUCUGGUAGUCUUUGGCUGCCCGAGUUGUAAUCUAGAGAAGCGUUAUCCGCGCUGGACCGUGUAUAAGUCUCCUGGAAUGGAGCGUCAUAGAGGGUGAGAAUCCCGUCUUUAACACGGACUACCAGGGCUUUGUGAUGCGCUCUCAAAGAGUCGAGUUGUUUGGGAAUGCAGCUCUAAAUGGGUGGUAAAUUCCAUCUAAAGCUAAAUAUUGGCGAGAGACCGAUAGCGAACAAGUACCGUGAGGGAAAGAUGAAAAGAACUUUGGAAAGAGAGUUAAACAGUACGUGAAAUUGUUGAAAGGGAAACGCUUGAAGUCAGUCGCGUUGGUCGGGGAUCAACCUUGCUUUUGCUUGGUGUACUUCCUGGUUAACGGGUCAGCAUCAAUUUUGACCAAUGGAAAAAGGUCAGGGGAAUGUGGCAUCUUCGGAUGUGUUAUAGCCUCUGGUCAUAUACAUUGGUUGGGAUUGAGGAACUCAGCACGCCGCAAGGCCGGGUUUUUACCACGUUCGUGCUUAGGAUGCUGGCAUAAUGGCUUUAAUCGACCCGUCU